GACGAACGCUGGCGGCGUGCUUAAUACAUGCAAGUCGAACGGAAAGGCCCUGCUUUUGUUGGGCUCUCGAGUGGCGAACGGGUGAGUAACACGUGAGUAACCUGCCCUUGACUUUGGGAUAACUUCAGGAAACUGGGGCUAAUACCGGAUAGGAGCUCCUGCUGCAUGGGGGGGGUUGGAAAGUGUCGGCGUUGGUAGAUGGACUCGCAGGUUAUCAGCUUGUUGGGGAGGUAGGGGCUUACGAAGGGUUUGACGGGUAGGCGGCCUGGGAGGGUGGACGGCCACAUUGGGACUGCGAUACGGAGCAGAAUGCUACGGGCGGCAGCGGUGGGGAAUCUGGCGCAAUGGCCCGGAGCCAGUUACAGCAGCGCCGCGUGCGGGAUGACCGCCUUCGAGUUGUAAACAGCUUUCGAAUGUGACGAAGAGUGAGUGACGGUAAUGGGUAAGGAAGCACCGGCUAACUACGUG
Molecule: ribosomal RNA, 468 nt
Filed under: uncultured bacterium
Lineage: Bacteria
Description: partial 16S ribosomal RNA
Rfam family: Bacterial small subunit ribosomal RNA
Source: RNAcentral